RNAcentral lists this long non-coding RNA (539 nucleotides) under Polistes fuscatus (common paper wasp). Its description in RNAcentral is "uncharacterized LOC122525272". Lineage: Eukaryota; Metazoa; Arthropoda; Insecta; Hymenoptera; Vespidae. The record is from RNAcentral.
CUCCCCAUACUCUAUUCUUUUCUAUCUUUCUCUUUCUCUUGCUCUCCGUUGCUUUUUCCAUUUCAUACAAUACACGUAUACAAACAGAAAUUCUGAUUCAACGCACGUACACGCAUAUACACGAGGACAGAGAGAGAAUUUCGAGACAAUUUUCUUCACCUUUCCAAUUAAAUUCUUUUUUUUUCCCCAAUUCAACCCCUGUAAAAUACAUUCCUUUCUUCGUCUUCCCUUUUUAUUUCUCUCUUCGUUUUUAUCGUUCUUCUUUUGUUUUAUUCUUCUUCUUUCUGGUGCAUAAUACGCGAGAAUGAUCGUCGGGAUUUUUUCCUAUCGUGUGUGUUUGACAAUCGUGAAGAAGAGAUAAAACCUCGUGGACAAGAACGUCAACUGUGGAACCUUCGUCUCUGCCCGUUUUCGUUCGAGGAGACGCAUAGCUCUUCUUUUGGACCAAAGGUCCACCUGGUAGUAACGGUACGCGGUCAGUAAUGACAAAGAUAUUAAAAACUUAGAUAAAAAGAAGACAUUACGAUCUCGAUUAAAAA